Mytilus californianus (California mussel) is the source of this 3361-nucleotide long non-coding RNA. RefSeq lists it as uncharacterized. NCBI's taxonomy places the organism in Eukaryota, Metazoa, Mollusca, Bivalvia, Mytilida, Mytilidae. The transcript is spliced from 2 exons. The record is from RefSeq and is a predicted model, not a curated record.
AGACCACAAUUAAUGACCCUACUUUUCGUUGUCCACGAAUAUAGUUCCCUUUAAUUAAAGUGUAUUUUUUCUUUAUUUUUUUUCUUUGCCUUUCUCAUUCAUUUCUUAGUUUUUAUGGGGUGGAAAUGAAAGAAGAGAGGUGAAAUAAAUUUUUGGAUGUUGUAUUUUAACUGAUUUUGAUAUGGAAAGAGUGAUUAGGCUAAGUGCAAAAAGGUAAUAUUUACAGUUUUCGGAACAUCUCUUGACUUGUCCAUAGGGGUAUGGAUGUGUAUUGGCUAAAUUUGUAAGAUCUUGGGGAGCGAUUUUUCUGAAUUUUGGAUAUGUUUUUGGACUAGUACUAUACAUUACACACACAAAAGAUUAGACAAAAAGAACCGGGGCAAUUUUUUUAAUGAGACAAAAAGUUAUAAAGAACUAAUAGAGGAAUUAAUUGUGGUCUGUGGCCUAAGAGGCUGAUACCCAAAAUCUUGAAAAUAAAGAAAGGACCAACUUUAUUGGCAGAAAGUCACUUCAAAUGAUAAAUAGUAAUGGUUUAUUGUAAUUUUAUUCAAUAUAAAUCUUUAAACCUGUUAUAAUAUGCAAUUUUAGGCAUUUUGGGCCAUUUUUGGCCAUUUUGAUGUACUGAAAGCCCUUUGACCCCAGUUUCAGUCCUUUCUGUCAAUAAUGUUGGACCCUUUUUAUAUUUUAGAAUAUAUUACUACUCUAUUGUCUUACAAACCAUCACAUCUUCAAAAUGGAUGCCUUUUAUCACAAAUAUAAUCAAAAAUUAAUAGAUAGCUCUGCACCUGGCUAUAAUGGGCAGUGUCACAUUUGGACAGGUUUAUGUACACCUAAUGGCAAAUAUGGAGUUAUUAAUUGUAAAUUUCCAGAUGCCAGAGGGUGGAGACAAAUGCAUGUGCACAGACUUGCCUACAUGGUGCAUCAUCAGAAUAUUUUAAUUGAUAAAACUGAUGAUGUUUCGCACCUGUGCCACAAUUCGAAAUGCAUUACUGUCGAACAUCUGUCGUUGGAACCUCAUGGUUUCAACAACAGCCGACAGUCAUGCGUUUCAACCGGUUCCUGCUUGGGCCACCCAGAUCCCCUCCCUCCCUGCAGGGUGGAGUUGAAAAUGGAUAACAAUAAUUUGGGUAAAAUAAUUAUCGGGUACUUUUUUAUUUUUAUUUUACUUAUAUUUUUUUUCUGGGGCAGGCUAAAAUAUAUUUUUAUCAGAAUGAAUGGGAGAAAAAAAGAAAAGAAAUUUGAAAGCUAAUGUACAACAACUUCAGAUUCUUUUUUUAAUAUUUGUGUGGUCCUGAAAAGGACCUUUUAUGAUUUGGUUUGCUGGUUGAUCUGUCAUCUCAGUCAGUAGCUGGUCUUGGAAGCUUUGGUUUGCAGUAGCUGUCAUGGUCCUGGAACUGUAAGGCAGGCUGUGGAUCUAGUUGACCUUUGCAGUAAUAGUCAUGCUUUUUGUUCAUUUCUCUCCAUGUCUUGUGCUCUGCAAGCUUUUCUGCAUUCUGCUUUAAUCUCCUUGCUUGAACUGUUGGUCUUAGUAUGUAAUCUUGGUUGUAUUGAAAGUCAGUGUCCAUUUUCUUCAGGUGAAGUUUACUUCGUUCUGAAAGGUCUACUCCUAGAUUCGUACAUUUAAGUUGUGUCGAGGUUCCCGGCAUGUUGUUAUUUCUAUGUACUCCUGAAGCAAGUCGUCCUUCCAUAUUUUUGGAGUAUAUUACAUUUUUGGGCAAAUUAACACUCAGUGCUCUAUGAACUCCUUCAUUUUUGUUGGUAUUGUCAUAAAGUUUCAUACUUUCAAUAGCUGCUGUAGUUAAUUUCAUUUUCAGGAUUUCUUGAAGUAAAAAUUUGUCUGUUUUAUCCAUUUGCAGGGCAGUGAUCUGGUAUGUGGACAAGUAAGACGAACGACUCCACCAGUUAAUUGCAGCAUCACCUUUGCAGACAAUGGAAUAUUCAUGACACUGGGUGCAGUCACCAUCAUAGCAGCGAAGAGUUGCAUCGAGCACUUUUGGUCAUCAUUAGCUUGUGGUCGAAGAGUACAGAUGUGACCAGUCGCCUCUUUGCAGUCAGGAGAUUGUAAAGUUUGCCGCACAUAGGAAGUACUUGCACUAGCUGAAUCAGGCAUUUGUAUUGACGUCAGGCCUCCACUUAUAACAUUUGUGCCAGCUUGGAACCAACUAGGAUUUCUUGGUGAGUUAGAGUUGUCUUUCUUUGACCUUUUCUUGCCUUUGGAAUAUGGGGUACUACCCUUAGUGAACAUUUUGAAAAGUUAAACUGUAUCAGUAAUAUCGCAACUUGGACUAAUGGAAUAAACUUUGGACAUCCUUAUAUUUAUAAUCAAGUGGUGUACAAUAUCUGCUUUGAUGUACAUUAUUUCCUUUGAUGCAAUCUGUGGUGUGGUGUUCCAGAGACCACAUUCAGUGUUUUCUUAGCAGUAUCCAGUUGAGCCAAUUAUUCUAUUAUCAGGGGUCCAGAUUAAGAUUGUUUGAUCAAAAUCUAUGAAAAUAUGUUACUUUAUAAUAUUUGAGUAAUCAAUUUAACAAAAAGGCAUAUGGGAAUUUUUUUAUUAAUUUUUUAAAUAACUUUUGUUGUUGAAAUGUGAUAUAUCUUUUAAAUAUUUUUUUUCUUUCAGAAAUCUUUUAUAACAUUAAAAUUUCUUUCAUGAUAAAAAUAAACAAAAAGGAAAGCUUCACUAAAAAGUUUAUUUCAGGGUGAUAUUUCAAGGAAUAAAGAAAUUACACUAGUUUGAAAUUUUCAUUACAUGUAAUAUGACCUGAUGAUACAUAUGCAUUUUGGUACCUCAGGUGAACAGGCCAAAUACCUGUGAAUUUUGUCUAAUUAGUGUUUGAGUUAUAUUUUACUUAUUACAGAUAAGAUAAGCUAAUUUUUAAGAUAAGUUUUGAAAGUGAGAUUUCUAUUUAAGUAUUUUUAAAGGAAUUUUAUUUCUUUUCAGUGUUGUUAAUUUAACUAAAAGUACAAGAAUUUUUGUAAAAAAAUUAUUUCAAUUGAAAAAACAUAAUUUUUGAUAAAUUUUCUUUCAGAUUCUAAAAAUUUAACCAUUUAGCUACUAUAGACAUUUUACUUUUUUAAGAUAUCAUGUUUAACAAGAAAGUUAUGAAACUUUAACUUUUCCUAGUAGUUACAUGUUUUAAAAAUUUCAUGCCAGAAAAUUCCUAGAAUUAUUAACAUUAGGGUAGUGUUAUUAAAACUAUCCGGACUGCCAUUAAACUUGUCGGAUUGAUUUGAAAUUUGGUAUGCUGGUUCGAUAUAGAAUAAGCUUAAUGCAUGAUAUUUUUUGGGGCAUUUUAUUGAAGAAUAAGGGUCUAAUAGGCCCAAGACCACAAUUAAUGACCCUACUUUUCGUUGUCCACGAAUA